Molecule: unclassified non-coding RNA, 715 nt
Filed under: Hevea brasiliensis (rubber tree)
Lineage: Eukaryota; Viridiplantae; Streptophyta; Magnoliopsida; Malpighiales; Euphorbiaceae
Source: RNAcentral
AAAAAAAAAAAAAAAACAACAAAAUCCAAAACACUUGAUGAAGAAAAUUUGGGUUCGUACCUUAAGCUGCAAAUGGUGUACCUUUGAGACUUACCAAAUUCAAUACGAAGAGACUUUGGUUUACGGGAAUAAGCAAAGCUCCCCUCUUUCUCUAGUUUAAGCUUGGUGUUGAUGAAGAGGCCAAAGAAGAAAGAGACCCAGGCACUUGAAUCGUAGAAAAAGCAACAAAGAUGGAAGGAAUACUUCUUAUAAACAAUUAUCAGAAAAUUAUUGUAAAUUAUUUAUAUUAUUAUUAUUAUUAUUUCAGUUGUUCACUCCCACCUUAGUUGAAGCUGACACUGACACAUAGAUGGCAAAUGAGAGGGAGAAAGAAGCAGAAGAAAGAGGACCGAGGAGAUCCUAGCUCCCCACAACUAAUCUGUGCCUUCGUGCGCACUGCGCUCAGUCUACCAUUUUCAGCCACGUAAGCGAUAUUCGACCUUGUAAUGCGCACCCUGGCAGAUUUAUAUGUCGGCAGAGGCAGAAAAUUGCAGAGAGAGAUCUACAAUCUUUGUAGAGGCUGAGAAUUUUACCUGAAAUGCACUAUUCCACUUGAAAAACAAACUAAAGAUCCGAAAACACCUUAUCAGAUCUCCCAAACAUGACAUUUCAUCUUACUGCCAUCAAUGAUUUCCUGACCAAUCACUUUUCUUGGGAAACAACAUCCCCACUUUCA